UAGGGAAUCUUCCACAAUGGGCGAAAGCCUGAUGGAGCAACGCCGCGUGUGUGAUGAAGGGUUUCGGCUCGUAAAACACUGUUGUAAGAGAAGAAUGACAUUGAGAGUAACUGCUCAAUGUGUGACGGUAUCUUACCAGAAAGGAACGGCUAAAUACGNGCCAG
Molecule: ribosomal RNA, 164 nt
Filed under: uncultured bacterium
Lineage: Bacteria
Description: partial 16S rRNA
Rfam family: Bacterial small subunit ribosomal RNA
Source: RNAcentral